Long non-coding RNA from Bufo gargarizans (Asiatic toad), 302 nucleotides. RefSeq lists it as uncharacterized. The transcript is spliced from 3 exons. NCBI's taxonomy places the organism in Eukaryota, Metazoa, Chordata, Amphibia, Anura, Bufonidae. The record is from RefSeq and is a predicted model, not a curated record.
GCCUGGAGUCUGACUCCUCCGGUAGAUGCUGGAAGAAAUAAAAGUGCUGGACGCUCCAUGGUGAAGGAUUGUCAGAGGAGGAGGACACGCCCCAUCCAAGUUCCUACAAUAUAGGAUCCGCUCAGGGGAGACCUUCUAUAUAAGAUCCUUCUCCUGAUUGACCCGACAAGGAUAAACAGGGACAAGAUGGUGGAGAGGAUAAUAAAUCUAACCCUAGAGAUCCUCUUCUGGCUUACUGGAGAGGACUACACAGUAGUGAAGAAGACCUCUAGUGAGCGCUGUCAGACCCCUGUGUCUGAAGG